RNAcentral lists this ribosomal RNA (457 nucleotides) under uncultured bacterium. RNAcentral's name for it is "partial 16S ribosomal RNA". It matches the Rfam family "Bacterial small subunit ribosomal RNA", at positions 338 to 795 of the family's 1533-position model. The record is from RNAcentral.
CCUACGGGGGGCAGCAGUGGGGAAUAUUGCACAAUGGGGGAAACCCUGAUGCAGCGACGCCGCGUGAGUGAAGAAGUAUUUCGGUAUGUAAAGCUCUAUCAGCAGGGAAGAAAUAAAGUCCUUCGGACUUUGGACGGUACCUGACUAAGAAGCCCCGGCUAACUACGUGCCAGCAGCCGCGGUAAUACGUAGGGGGCAAGCGUUAUCCGGAUUUACUGGGUGUAAAGGGAGCGUAGACGGCAGCGCAAGGCUGGAGUGAAAUCCCAUGGCUUAACCAUGGAACUGCUUUGGAAACUGUGCAGCUGGAGUGCAGGAGAGGUAAGCGGAAUUCCUAGUGUAGCGGUGAAAUGCGUAGAUAUUAGGAGGAACACCAGUGGCGAAGGCGGGUUGCUAGACUGUAACUGACACUGAGGCACGAAAGCGUGGGGAGCAAACAGGAUUAGAUACCCGUGUAGUC